UUUUUUUUUUUUUUUUCUCUACUGAUUGAUCCAUGGAAUGCAUUUCAGCAGUUGGCGCUAAAAUUGGAUGUUAUAUUCCACCAGAGACUUCUAGGAAAUUCUAUAUUAAAACACAGGUUGAAAGAGUCAAUGCAAUAAUGAUCUCCACCUCUUUUCUGCAUUUAUCCUGAUUAAAGAGAUCAAAUAGCUUUAACAAAACUGCAACGCACAAAAUCUCACACACAAAAUGGAAUGUGCAAUUUUAAUUGCUUCCUACUUUUAAAGCUAAUAAACAGUGUCUAAAAGAAGAAAACAUUGUAUUAAAUCCUUAUGACAAAAUUAACGAGAAUUUGCUUCUUAAAGUAUUGCACAACUAAGCUAGGUCUUGAUUAAAUCCAACCAAAUUCAUCCAAUCUACUCAAUUACCAUGAUAACGGCAAAAUAUUGGACAGGAAACUAUACAGUAAAAUGCGUAAGAACCAAUCUUCCUAUCGGUACUGCACAAUCUCAAAAGCUAAAAGAGAUAGAUUAACAUGACCCAGAAGGGGAAAUGGCCUAGAGAAAAGGAUUCUAAGUCGCUAUAUGAAUGACACAGCACAAGGCAACGAAGGGACAAACCACCCAAAUUCAAUGAAACCCAUAGUUCAUGAAAGAAGUGUAAGCUCAGUAAAGAAGAAACUAUUAAUUAAUCAUUAAUAUAAAGAAACACGAAGGAGCAGAAGUAUUGAAAGGAUGGAAAACCAAGAACUAAUCACUCAUGAGAUUCUGUGCUAGUCGGCUUCG
Molecule: unclassified non-coding RNA, 762 nt
Filed under: Hevea brasiliensis (rubber tree)
Lineage: Eukaryota; Viridiplantae; Streptophyta; Magnoliopsida; Malpighiales; Euphorbiaceae
Source: RNAcentral